RNAcentral lists this ribosomal RNA (110 nucleotides) under uncultured bacterium. RNAcentral's name for it is "partial 16S ribosomal RNA". It matches the Rfam family "Bacterial small subunit ribosomal RNA", at positions 1373 to 1482 of the family's 1533-position model. The record is from RNAcentral.
CCCGGGCCUUGUACACACCGCCCGUCACACCAUGGGAGUGGGUUGCAAAAGAAGUAGGUAGUUUAACCUUCGGGAGGGCGCUUACCACUUUGUGAUUCAUGACUGGGGUG